GAUGAACGCUGGCGGCGUGCCUAAUACAUGCAAGUCGAGCGAACAGAUAAGGAGCUUGCUCCUUUGACGUUAGCGGCGGACGGGUGAGUAACACGUGGGUAACCUACCUAUAAGACUGGAAUAACUCCGGGAAACCGGGGCUAAUGCCGGAUAACAUUUAGAACCGCAUGGUUCUAAAGUGAAAGAUGGUUUUGCUAUCACUUAUAGAUGGACCCGCGCCGUAUUAGCUAGCUGGUAAGGUAACGGCUUACCAAGGCAACGAUACGUAGCCGACCUGAGAGGGUGAUCGGCCACACUGGAACUGAGACACGGUCCAGACUCCUACGGAGGGCAGCAGUAGGGAAUCUUCCGCAAUGGGCGAAAGCCUGACGGAGCAACGCCGCGUGAGUGAUGAAGGUCUUCGGAUCGUAAAACUCUGUUAUUAGGGAAGAACAAAUGUGUAAGUAACUGUGCACGUCUUGACGGUACCUAAUCAGAAAGCCACGGCUAACUACGUG
This 497-nucleotide ribosomal RNA is filed under the name uncultured bacterium. RNAcentral's name for it is "partial 16S ribosomal RNA". It matches the Rfam family "Bacterial small subunit ribosomal RNA", at positions 28 to 507 of the family's 1533-position model. The record is from RNAcentral.